This 253-nucleotide ribosomal RNA is filed under the name uncultured bacterium. RNAcentral describes it as "partial 16S ribosomal RNA". It matches the Rfam family "Bacterial small subunit ribosomal RNA", at positions 524 to 776 of the family's 1533-position model. The record is from RNAcentral.
GACGGAAGGUGCAAGCGUUGCUCGGAAUCACUGGGCGUAAAGGGUGCGUAGGCGGCCGUGCAAGUCUGGCGUGAAAGCCCCGGGCUCAGCCCGGGAAGUGCGCUCGAAACUGCGCGGCUCGAGUGCCGGAGGGGAGAGUGGAAUUCCUGGUGUAGCGGUGAGAUGCGUAGAUAUCAGGAGGAAUACCGGUGGCGAAAGCGACUCUCUGGACGGCAACUGACGCUGAGGCACGAAAGCGUGGGGAGCAAACAGG